GUCGAGCGGACAGAUGGGAGCUUGCUCCCUGAUGUUAGCGGCGGACGGGUGAGUAACACGUGGGUAACCUGCCUGUAAGACUGGGAUAACUCCGGGAAACCGGGGCUAAUACCGGAUGGUUGUUUGAACCGCAUGGUUCAGACAUAAAAGGUGGCUUCGGCUACCACUUACAGAUGGACCCGCGGCGCAUUAGCUAGUUGGUGAGGUAACGGCUCACCAAGGCAACGAUGCGUAGCCGACCUGAGAGGGUGAUCGGCCACACUGGGACUGAGACACGGCCCAGACUCCUACGGGAGGCAGCAGUAGGGAAUCUUCCGCAAUGGACGAAAGUCUGACGGAGCAACGCCGCGUGAGUGAUGAAGGUUUUCGGAUCGUAAAGCUCUGUUGUUAGGGAAGAACAAGUGCCGUUCAAAUAGGGCGGCACCUUGACGGUACCUAACCAGAAAGCCACGGCUAACUACGUGCCAGCAGCCGCGGUAAUACGUAGGUGGCAAGCGUUGUCCGGAAUUAUUGGGCGUAAAGGGCUCGCAGGCGGUUUCUUAAGUCUGAUGUGAAAGCCCCCGGCUCAACCGGGGAGGGUCAUUGGAAACUGGGGAACUUGAGUGCAGAAGAGGAGAGUGGAAUUCCACGUGUAGCGGUGAAAUGCGUAGAGAUGUGGAGGAACACCAGUGGCGAAGGCGACUCUCUGGUCUGUAACUGACGCUGAGGAGCGAAAGCGUGGG
This 722-nucleotide ribosomal RNA is filed under the name Bacillus sp. R402. RNAcentral's name for it is "bacterial SSU rRNA". It matches the Rfam family "Bacterial small subunit ribosomal RNA", at positions 61 to 765 of the family's 1533-position model. Lineage: Bacteria; Bacillati; Bacillota; Bacilli; Caryophanales; Bacillaceae. The record is from RNAcentral.